AGAGUAAAGCUGCGUUCGUUAAGUGUUGACCGAACGGGGAGUUGUCGGUCAAACGAAAAGCUCAUGUUCCGUCGCUUGCGGAAUAUAAGACGCUUGCGGUCCACAGCUUGCAUCCCGCU
This 119-nucleotide non-coding RNA is filed under the name bovine gut metagenome. RNAcentral's name for it is "THF riboswitch". It matches the Rfam family "THF (Tetrahydrofolate) riboswitch aptamer". Rfam says of the family: THF riboswitch presents a pseudoknot that joins P1-P2 and the loop of P3 and two THF binding. The record is from RNAcentral.